UUGAAACACGGACCAAGGAGUGCAACAUGCGCGCGAGUCUCCGGGUGGCAAACCCGUGGGCGCAAUGAAGGUGAAGGCGGCGCCUCGGCCCGCUGUGGCGAGAGCCCUUCCCUSYGGGAGGGCGCAUCGUCGACCGUUCCCGAGUCACGCUGUGGCGGGAUAUGAGUGAGAGCGUGCCCGUUGCGACCCGAAAGAUGGUGAACUAUGCCUGAAUAGGGCGAAGCCAGAAGAAAUUCUGGUGGAAGCUCGCAGCGAUUCUGACGUGCAAAUCGAUCGUCAAAUUUGGGUAUAGGGGCGAAAGACUAAUCGAACCAUCUAGUAGCUGGUUCCCUCCGAAGUUUCCCUCAGGAUAGCUGGAGCCCGGUGCAGUUUUAUCAGGUAAAGCGAAUGAUUAGAGGUCUUGGGGCUGAAACAGCCUCAACCUAUUCUCAAACUUUAAAUGGGUAAGAAGCCCGGCUUGCUCGGUUGAAGUCGGGCGCAGAAUGCCGGGGCUCCCAGUGGGCCAUUUUUGGUAAGCAGAACUGGCGAUGUGGGAUGAACCAAAUGCCGGGUUAAGGUGCCGGAAUCGACGCUCAUCAGAUCCCAUGAAAGGUGUUGGUUGAUACUGACAGCAGGACGGUGGCCAUGGAAGUCGGAAUCCGCUAAGGAGUGUGUAACAACUCACCUGCCG
This 670-nucleotide ribosomal RNA is filed under the name Clathria sp. NW-2019. Its description in RNAcentral is "partial large subunit ribosomal RNA". Lineage: Eukaryota; Metazoa; Porifera; Demospongiae; Poecilosclerida; Microcionidae. The record is from RNAcentral.